UCCGAUAUGGUGUAGUGGCCAACAUGAUGCCCUCUCAAUUCUUUGUCAGGUUAGGCAUAGCCCCGAGUUCGAUUCUCGGUUUCGGAA
RNAcentral lists this transfer RNA (87 nucleotides) under Colletotrichum navitas. Its description in RNAcentral is "tRNA-Glu". It matches the Rfam family "tRNA". From Rfam's summary of the family: Transfer RNA (tRNA) molecules are approximately 80 nucleotides in length. Their secondary structure includes four short double-helical elements and three loops (D, anti-codon, and T loops). Further hydrogen bonds mediate the characteristic L-shaped molecular structure. tRNAs have two regions of fundamental functional importance: the anti-codon, which is responsible for specific mRNA codon recognition, and the 3' end, to which the tRNAs corresponding amino acid is attached (by aminoacyl-tRNA synthetases). tRNAs cope with the degeneracy of the genetic code in two manners: having more than one tRNA (with a specific anti-codon) for a particular amino acid; and 'wobble' base-pairing, i.e. permitting non-standard base-pairing at the 3rd anti-codon position. The record is from RNAcentral. Lineage: Eukaryota; Fungi; Ascomycota; Sordariomycetes; Glomerellales; Glomerellaceae.